GACGAACGCUGGCGGCGUGCUUAACACAUGCAAGUCGAACGGGCCCGCUCUCUUUUUUGGGGGUGGGUUGAGUGGCGAACGGGUGAGUAUCACGUGAGUAACCUGCCCCCUGCUCCUGGAUAACUGCUUGAAAGGGCGGCUAAUACGGGGUGUGCCGGCUGGUCCGCAUGGGCCUGGUCGGGAUAGUUUCAUCUUCGGGUGUUUCGGUGGGGGAUGGGCUCGCGGCCUAUCAGCUUGUUGGUGGGGUGAUGGCCCACCAAGGCGGUGACGGGUAGCCGGCCUGAGAGGGUGGGCGGCCACACUGGGACUGAGACACGGCCCAGACUCCUGCGGGAGGCAGCAGUGGGGGGUAUUGCGCAAUGGGCGGAAGCCUGAUGCAGCGACGGCGCGUGAGGGAUGGAGGCCUUCGGGUUGUGAACCUCUUUCUCCGGUGGUGAAGGCCCUGUCCGUUGCGGCGGGGUUGACGGUAGCCGGGUAUGAAGCGCCGGCUAACUACGUG
RNAcentral lists this ribosomal RNA (499 nucleotides) under uncultured bacterium. Its description in RNAcentral is "partial 16S ribosomal RNA". It matches the Rfam family "Bacterial small subunit ribosomal RNA", at positions 28 to 507 of the family's 1533-position model. The record is from RNAcentral.